RNAcentral lists this non-coding RNA (195 nucleotides) under Sphingomonas sp. Lineage: Bacteria; Pseudomonadati; Pseudomonadota; Alphaproteobacteria; Sphingomonadales; Sphingomonadaceae. RNAcentral also lists the same sequence under 1 other name. The record is from RNAcentral.
AAAGCCGCCGCCGCAAUGGGUGUCCUCCCACGGGAGGAUGAAAAGGGAACUCGGUCCAUAGUCCGAGGCUGCCCCCGCAACUGUAGCCGGCGAGCCGGCGUGCCACUCUCUGCCACUGGAGCCGCCGGCUUCGGGAAGGCGGCACGCCAGCGACGACCCGGAAGCCAGGAGACCUGCCCGUUGCCGUCGAUUCCU